CAGUCAGGCUGUGGAAGCAGAGGUAACUAUCAUUUCCUCUGACUCAGAGCCCUUGCCAAGACAAAAAGUAAGGUUUUCUAACCCUUUAGCUCACUUGGAUCCCAACUUUCGUUUGAAAACACGACAAUAUGAAAGCCGCCGUCAAGCUUGGACUGAAGAUGAGCCGGCUAUCGUUCAAAAAACUCCUCAGAAGCGUCCGAAUGAGGAGGUGUCUCUCUCUUCUGGCGACUCAUCGCAGAUGCAAUUUCCGGCCUUCAAGACUUGGUGGCCAAGCUAAAUCCAAGAAAGCGAAGGUAGCUAAAUCGGUGGAAGACCCGCCAGUGCUUGCAUCUGACCCGGCCAGGCCAUCCUCUCCAUUAACCGACGCUCCAGCAGACCCGCCUGUUGAUGUAGAAGCAAAUCCUCCUGAGCCGUCAUUUGAUGAGACCACUGUGAACCCUUCUGCUACUGGACCAUCAAGCUCAGCCAACCCGCCAUCACCAUCUGCAUAAGACGUUCAGAUCACCGGGAGCCGCUUUAUUGAACCAGGGAAUCCAACCGUGCUGGCUCGGUGUACUGCAAAACAAGAGGCAUUGGAGAGGCAGAAAGUUCACUUUGACGUUGCCAACUAUGACCAUCUAAAUGCCAAUGAUAUUCUAUCCGGCUAUCUUAGCCAUGUACACUCCAGUCGCGACUCUGAGAUUGAAAUGGUCAAAGAUCUGUAGUUGAAAUACGAGAAUGCCUUAUCGGAAUUGAACUCGCAAUUGACUGAUGCGAAGACCCGGCUAGCGAGUCAGGAAGCAGAAAUCAAAUCUGCUAACUCCAAACUGCAAAUAAGUCUCUCUGAGACGGAAAAUUUAAAGACCAACUUCGCUGCCAAGAAGAAAACUUGGGAAGAGGAAAAAAUGCUUCUGACCCAACGUGCUGAGAAGGCCGAAACAACCCUUGAAGAGAUUUCAACAGAGCUGAACGGGUUAAAGGGCCGGGUG
Triticum aestivum (bread wheat) is the source of this 968-nucleotide long non-coding RNA. RefSeq lists it as uncharacterized. The record is from RefSeq and is a predicted model, not a curated record. The transcript has 4 exons. NCBI's taxonomy places the organism in Eukaryota, Viridiplantae, Streptophyta, Magnoliopsida, Poales, Poaceae.